UACGAAGGGGACUAGCGUUGUUCGGAAUUACUGGGCGUAAAGCGCACGUAGGCGGAUUUGUCAGUCAGGGGUGAAAUCCCGGGGCUCAACCUCGGAACUGCCUUUGAUACAGCAAGUCUAGAAUCCGAUAGAGGUGGGUGGAAUUCCUAGUGUAGAGGUGAAAUUCGUAGAUAUUAGGAAGAACACCGGUGGCGAAGGCGGCCCACUGGAUCGGUAUUGACGCUGAGGUGCGAAAGCGUGGGGAGCAAACAGG
Molecule: ribosomal RNA, 253 nt
Filed under: uncultured bacterium
Lineage: Bacteria
Description: partial 16S ribosomal RNA
Rfam family: Bacterial small subunit ribosomal RNA
Source: RNAcentral